GGACUAAGGAGUCUAGCAGAUAGGCGAGCUCGCGGGACACGCAAACCCGCGAGCGCCGUGAAGGCGCGUGCCGGCCGGAGAGAUCCGGUCGGCGCGCGCGCGCGCCGCGAGGCGCGCGCGCGCCUAAGAAACGAUCGGCCGCAAGCCGCGCGCGGCUGGCCGCGCAGUUUCGGGACGGUCUCGUUCUCACUGCGAGAGGAGCCGUACUCCGAGUCUAUAUGCUGGUACCCGAAAGAUGUGUGAACUAUGCGUGACAAGAAUUAAGUUAGGGGAAACCCUGAUGUAAGUUCGCUACCGAUUCUGACGUGCAAAUCGAUCGUCUGAGUCAAGUAUAGGGGCGAAAGACCAAUCGAACCAUCUAGUAGCUGGUUCCUCCCGAAGUUUCCCUCAGGAUAGCUGGGACCCGACCGCAGAAGUAGUCGCAUGUGGUAAAGCGAAUGAUUAGAGGUAUUGGGGCCGAAACGGCCUCAACCUAUUCUCAAACUUUUAAUGAGUGCGCACCGCCCGCUUACGCUGAAGCGCCCGACCACCCCCCCGGGGGCCCGGGCGCGACGUCGAAGCGGCGGUCAGAUAGCGGGUCCCAAGUGGGCCAUUUUUGGUAAGCAGAACUGGCGAUGCGGGAUGAACCGAAAGCGAAGUUAAAGUGCCGAAGCGACGCUCAUGGGAAACCAGAAAAGGCGUUAGUAACUAAAGACAGCAGGGCGGUGGCCAUGGAAGUAGGA
RNAcentral lists this ribosomal RNA (722 nucleotides) under Tychobythinus sp. JP-2014. Its description in RNAcentral is "eukaryotic LSU rRNA". It matches the Rfam family "Eukaryotic large subunit ribosomal RNA", at positions 663 to 1265 of the family's 3401-position model. The record is from RNAcentral. Lineage: Eukaryota; Metazoa; Arthropoda; Insecta; Coleoptera; Staphylinidae.